CAGGAAGUAGUUUAUUUAAGAAUAUUAAUUUUGGAGAUUAAAGAUAGAGGCGUCUCUCUUCCUGA
RNAcentral lists this transfer RNA (65 nucleotides) under Epicauta aptera. RNAcentral's name for it is "tRNA-Pro". Lineage: Eukaryota; Metazoa; Arthropoda; Insecta; Coleoptera; Meloidae. The record is from RNAcentral.